GACGAACGCUGGCGGCGUGCUUAACACAUGCAAGUCGAACGGAAAGGCCCUGCUUUUGUGGGGUGCUCGAGUGGCGAACGGGUGAGUAACACGUGAGUAACCUGCCCUUGACUUUGGGAUAGCUUCAGGAAACUGGGGCUAAUACCGGAUAGGAGCUCCUGCUGCAUGGUGGGGGUUGGAAAGUUUCGGCGGUUGGGGAUGGACUCGCGGCUUAUCAGCUUGUUGGUGGGGUAGUGGCUUACCAAGGCUUUGACGGGUAGCCGGCCUGAGAGGGUGAACGGCCACAUUGGGACUGAGAUACGGACCAGACUCCUACGGGAGGCAGCGGUGGGGAAUAUUGCACAAUGGGCGGAAGCCUGAUGCAGCAACGCCGCGUGCGGGAUGACGGCCUUCGGGUUGUAAACCGCUUUAGCCUGUGACGAAGCGUGAGUGACGGUAAUGGGUAAAGAAGCACCGGCUAACUACGUG
Molecule: ribosomal RNA, 468 nt
Filed under: uncultured bacterium
Lineage: Bacteria
Description: partial 16S ribosomal RNA
Rfam family: Bacterial small subunit ribosomal RNA
Source: RNAcentral